CCUACGGGUGGCAGCAGUGAGGAAUAUUGGUCAAUGGGCGCUAGCCUGAACCAGCCAAGUCGCGUGAAGGAUGACUGCCCUAUGGGUUGUAAACUUCUUUUAUCAGGGAAUAAAGUGCAGUACGUAUCCCCCUUUGCAUGUACCUUAUGAAUAAGGAUCGGCUAACUCCGUGCCAGCAGCCGCGGUAAUACGGAGGAUUCGAGCGUUAUCCGGAUUUAUUGGGUUUAAAGGGAGCGUAGGCGGGUUGUUAAGUCAGUUGUGAAAGUUUGCGGCUCAACCGGAAAAUUGCAGUUGAUACUGGCAGCCUUGAGUACAGUAGAGGUAGGCGGAAUUCGUGGUGUAGCGGUGAAAUGCUUAGAUAUCACGAAGAACUCCGAUUGCGAAGGCAGCCUGCUGGACUGUAACUGACGCUGAUGCUCGAAAGUGUGGGUAUCAAACAGGAUUAGAUACCCUGGUAGUC
RNAcentral lists this ribosomal RNA (460 nucleotides) under uncultured bacterium. RNAcentral's name for it is "partial 16S ribosomal RNA". It matches the Rfam family "Bacterial small subunit ribosomal RNA", at positions 338 to 795 of the family's 1533-position model. The record is from RNAcentral.